AAAGGAAUUGACGGGGGCCCGCACAAGCAGCGGAGCGUGUGGUUUAAUUCGACGCAACGCGAAGAACCUUACCUGGGCUUGACAUGCACGUGGUACGACCGGGAAACCGGGAGGACCCGCAAGGGAGCGUGCACAGAUGCUGCAUGGCUGUCGUCAGCUCGUGCCGUGAGGUGUUGGGUUAAGUCCCGCAACGAGCGCAACCCUCGCUGCCAGUUACCAUGUCUGGCGGGACCGCCGGGUCCAACCCGGAGGAAGGUGGGGAUGACGUCAAGUCAGCACGGCUCUUACGUCCAGGGCUACACACACGCUACAAUGGCCGGUACAACGCGCAGCGAUGGGGCGACCCGGAGCGAAUCGCAUCAAAGCCGGUCUCAGUUGGGAUUGCAGGCUGCAACUCGCCUGCAUGAACGAGGAGUUGCUAGUAACCGCAGGUCAGCACACUGCGGUGAAUACGUUCCCGGGCCUUGUACACACCGCCCGU
This 481-nucleotide ribosomal RNA is filed under the name uncultured bacterium. RNAcentral describes it as "bacterial SSU rRNA". It matches the Rfam family "Bacterial small subunit ribosomal RNA", at positions 903 to 1397 of the family's 1533-position model. The record is from RNAcentral.